GACGAACGCUGGCGGCGUGCUUAACACAUGCAAGUCGAGCGGUAAGGCCCUUUCGGGGGUACACGAGCGGCGAACGGGUGAGUAACACGUGGGUGACCUGCCCUCAGCUCUGGGAUAAGCCUGGGAAACCGGGUCUAAUACUGGAUAUGACUCCAUGACGCAUGGUUGUGGGGUGGAAAGCCUUGUGCGGCUGAGGAUGGGCCC
This 204-nucleotide ribosomal RNA is filed under the name uncultured bacterium. Its description in RNAcentral is "partial 16S ribosomal RNA". It matches the Rfam family "Bacterial small subunit ribosomal RNA", at positions 28 to 232 of the family's 1533-position model. The record is from RNAcentral.